UAACGCGUAUGCAACCUGUCCGUUACAGGGGAAUAGCCCAUGGAAACGUGGAUUAAUGCUCCAUAAUAUAAUAUAGAGGCAUCUUUAUGUUAUUAAAUAUUUAUAGGUAACGGUUGGGCAUGCGUCCUAUUAGAUAGUUGGGGGGGUAACGGCCCACCAAGUCGAUGAUAGGUAGGGGUUCUGAGAGGAAGGUCCCCCACACUGGUACUGAGACACGGACCAGACUCCUACGGGAGGCAGCAGUGAGGAAUAUUGGUCAAUGGGCGAGAGCCUGAACCAGCCAAGUCGCGUGAGGGAUGACUGCCCUAUGGGUUGUAAACCUCUUUUGUAUGGGGGGAAUAAGCUUUACGAGUAGAGUGAUGACAGUACCAUACGAAUAAGCAUCGGCUAACUCCGUGCCAGCAGCCGCGGUAAUACGGAGGAUGCGAGCGUUAUCCGGAUGUAUUGGGUUUAAAGGGUGCGUAGGCGGCAUUAUAAGUUAGUGGUAAAAUAUUGGGGCUUCACCUCACUACGCCAUUAAUACUGUAGAGCUAGAGAACAGACGAGGUAGGCGGAAUAAGUUAAGUAGCGGUGAAAUGCAUAGAUAUAACUUAGAACACCGAUAGCGAAGGCAGCUUACCAGACUGAGUCUGACGCUGAUGCACGAGAGCAUGGGUAGCGAACAGGAUUAGAUACCCUGGUAGUCCAUGCCGU
This 693-nucleotide ribosomal RNA is filed under the name uncultured bacterium. RNAcentral describes it as "bacterial SSU rRNA". It matches the Rfam family "Bacterial small subunit ribosomal RNA", at positions 111 to 803 of the family's 1533-position model. The record is from RNAcentral.